Molecule: ribosomal RNA, 447 nt
Filed under: uncultured bacterium
Lineage: Bacteria
Description: bacterial SSU rRNA
Rfam family: Bacterial small subunit ribosomal RNA
Source: RNAcentral
GCCAGACUCCUACGGGAGGCAGCAGUGGGGAAUAUUGCACAAUGGGGGAAACCCUGAUGCGGCGACGCCGCGUGAGUGAGGAAGUAUUUCGGUAUGUAAAGCUCUAUCAGCAGGGAAGAAGAAAUGACGGUACCUGACUAAGAAGCACCGGCUAAAUACGUGCCAGCAGCCGCGGUAAUACGUAUGGUGCAAGCGUUAUCCGGAUUUACUGGGUGUAAAGGGAGCGCAGGCGGUACGGCAAGUCUGAUGUGAAAGCCCGGGGCUCAACCCCGGUACUGCAUUGGAAACUACCGGACUGGAGUGUCGGAGGGGUAAGUGGAAUUCCUAGUGUAGCGGUGAAAUGCGUAGAUAUUAGGAGGAACACCAGUGGCGAAGGCGGCUUACUGGACGAUCACUGACGCUGAGGCCCGAAAGCGUGGGGAGCAAACAGGAUUAGAUACCCCAGUA